UACGAAGGGGGGCUAGCGUUGUUCGGAUUUACUGGGCGUAAAGCGCACGUAGGCGGUUUGUUAAGUCAGGGGUGAAAUCCCAGAGCUCAACUCUGGAACUGCCUCUGAUACUGGCAAGCUAGAGUCCGGAAGAGGUAAGUGGAACUCCUAGUGUAGAGGUGGAAUUCGUAGAUAUUAGGAAGAACACCAGUGGCGAAGGCGGCUUACUGGUCCGGAACUGACGCUGAGGUGCGAAAGCGUGGGGAGCGAACAGG
This 254-nucleotide ribosomal RNA is filed under the name uncultured bacterium. RNAcentral describes it as "partial 16S ribosomal RNA". It matches the Rfam family "Bacterial small subunit ribosomal RNA", at positions 524 to 776 of the family's 1533-position model. The record is from RNAcentral.